AACGAACGCUGGCGGCAUGCCUAACACAUGCAAGUCGAACGAGACCUUCGGGUCUAGUGGCGCACGGGUUCGUAACGCGUGGGAACCUGCCCUUAGGUUCGGAAUAACUCCCCGAAAGGGGUGCUAAUACCGGAUAAUGUCUUCGGACCAAAGAUUUAUCGCCUUUGGAUGGUCCCGCGUUGGAUUAGCUAGUUGGUAGGGUAAAAGCCUACCAAGGCUACGAUCCAUAGAUGGUUUGAGAGGAUGAUCAGCCACACUGGGACUGAGACACGGCCCAGAAUACUACGGGAGGGAGGAGUGGGGAAUAUUGGAAAAGGGGGGAAAGGCUGAUAAAGGAAUGCCGGGUGAGAGAUGAAGGCAUUAGGGUAGUAAAGCACAUUUAACCGGGAAGAUAAUGACAGUAACGGGAGAAUAAGCAACGGCUAACUCCGUG
This 433-nucleotide ribosomal RNA is filed under the name uncultured bacterium. RNAcentral describes it as "partial 16S ribosomal RNA". It matches the Rfam family "Bacterial small subunit ribosomal RNA", at positions 29 to 507 of the family's 1533-position model. The record is from RNAcentral.